RNAcentral lists this ribosomal RNA (497 nucleotides) under uncultured bacterium. Its description in RNAcentral is "partial 16S ribosomal RNA". It matches the Rfam family "Bacterial small subunit ribosomal RNA", at positions 28 to 507 of the family's 1533-position model. The record is from RNAcentral.
GAUGAACGCUGGCGGCGUGCCUAAUACAUGCAAGUCGAGCGAACAGACCAGGAGCUUGCUCCUCUGACGUUAGCGGCGGACGGGUGAGUAACACGUGGAUAACCUACCUAUAAGACUGGGAUAACUUCCGGAAACCGGAGCUAAUACCGCAUAAUAUAUUGAACCGCAUGGUUCAAUAGUGAAAGACGGUUUUGCUUUCUCUUAUAGAUGGAUCCGCGCCGCAUUAGCUAGUUGGUAAGGUAACGGCUUACCAAGGCAACGAUGCGUAGCCGACCUGAGAGGGUGAUCGGCCACACUGGAACUGAGACACGGUCCAGACUCCUACGGGAGGCAGCAGUAGGGAAUCUUCCGCAAUGGACGAAAGCCUGACGGAGCAACGCCGCGUGAGUGAUGAAGGUCUUCGGAUCGUAAAACUCUGUUAUUAGGGAAGAACAAAUGUGUAAGUAACUAUGCACGUCUUGACGGUACCUAAUCAGAAAGCCACGGCUAACUACGUG